Xyrichtys novacula (pearly razorfish) is the source of this 523-nucleotide non-coding RNA. NCBI's taxonomy places the organism in Eukaryota, Metazoa, Chordata, Actinopteri, Labriformes, Labridae. The record is from the annotation of a GenBank genome assembly.
CAUUUCUUCAUGGAAAUACAAUCAGACCGAGACGCUAAGACAGAAGAACUACCGCGUCUGUAAAAUGAUUAAUAUGAUGAUUAUUACUUCAAGGAAAUGAUAAAGAAAUGAUCAUAAAUGUUCUUCCUUGAGCUGCGGCACCCCGCUGUAGUCCACUGUUGCUUUACUAAAGUUGGUAUAACUAGAGAAGCAAGCGGUCGACAACAUUCAUCUCUGGAGGGGGGUCUAACUCGGUGUUACGGUGGGUUUGACCCUUAAUUUUACGGCAGAAUAUCCCUUUAACGUCCUCCUGUAAUGACACUGUAAACCCCUCUAACCACUCCCAUCGUUGUUUCACAUGAACAGGUCCAGAAAAGAACAGACUGUCUGAAGGAUCGAUAUUCAGACCCCAACAAGGUGAGUUCAGAGGGUUUGGAGGACAGCUCGACUCUUCAGCCUGAGAAAAAAGAGGAAGGACCCUGUGGGGGUUUUCUGCUCUCUGGACAUGUGGUGGACUUUCCCACAGAGGGAUGAUGAAGCCCGG